AUUUUUGGAGGAAGCAAUAGGGGAAAAUUGGCAACAACCAAAAUACGACAAGCCAAGCGCUGGAAAAAGAAAAUCUUUGGGGUAAUAAAAUCUCUAAGGAGGAAGAAAUGACGUACCCGAAUC
RNAcentral lists this ribosomal RNA (123 nucleotides) under bacterium. RNAcentral describes it as "partial 16S ribosomal RNA". The record is from RNAcentral.